AGUGAACGCUGGCGGUAUGCCUAACACAUGCAAGUCGAACGGCAGCACACUAAGAGCUUGCUCUUACGGGUGGCGGGUGGCGGACGGGUGAGGAAUACAUCGGAAUCUACUUUUUCGUGGGGGAUAACGUAGGGAAACAUACGCUAAUACCGCAUACGACCUACGGGUGAAAGCAGGGGAUCUUCGGACCUUGCGCGAUUGAAUGAGCCGAUGUCGGACUAGCUAGUUGGCGGGGUAAAGGCCCACCAAGGCGACGAUCCGUAGCUGGUCUGAGAGGAUGAUCAGCCACACUGGAACUGAGACACGGUCCAGACUCCUACGGGAGGCAGCAGUGGGGAAUAUUGGACAAUGGGCGCAAGCCUGAUCCAGCCAUACCGCGUGGGUGAAGAAGGCCUUCGGGUUGUAAAGCCCUUUUGUUGGGAAAGAAAAGCAGCAGGUUAAUACCCCGCUGUUCUGACGGUACCCAAAGAAUAAGCACCGGCUAACUCCGUG
This 492-nucleotide ribosomal RNA is filed under the name uncultured bacterium. Its description in RNAcentral is "partial 16S ribosomal RNA". It matches the Rfam family "Bacterial small subunit ribosomal RNA", at positions 29 to 507 of the family's 1533-position model. The record is from RNAcentral.